GCGCUUGUGGCUCAAUUGGAUAGAGCACCUGACUUCGGAUCAGGCGGUUGGGGGUUCGAGUCCCUCCGGGCGCACCA
RNAcentral lists this transfer RNA (77 nucleotides) under Candidatus Neomicrothrix parvicella. RNAcentral's name for it is "tRNA-Arg". It matches the Rfam family "tRNA". From Rfam's summary of the family: Transfer RNA (tRNA) molecules are approximately 80 nucleotides in length. Their secondary structure includes four short double-helical elements and three loops (D, anti-codon, and T loops). The record is from RNAcentral. Lineage: Bacteria; Bacillati; Actinomycetota; Acidimicrobiia; Acidimicrobiales; Microthrixaceae. RNAcentral also lists the same sequence under 3 other names.